UGUGGUUGAUAACUUAGGAAAUAAUGUUUUGUAUAUUGAUUCUCUUAAUAAUAAUAACUUGGAUAAAGCAUCAUUAUGGCAUUGUCAUCUUGGACAUAUAAGCAAGAAAAGCAUAGGCCAACUCCAAAAGGAUGGAGUCUUGGAGUCAUUUGACCUAAAGUCAGAUGAUAGUUGCGAAUCAUGCUUACUUCGAAAAAUGACAAAGUCUCCCUUCACAGGUUCUUGUGAGAGGGGUGAAGGUUUGUUGGAUCUUGUACACACGGAUGUGUGUGGACCAUUCAAACAUGCCACAUGGGAUGAUAAUCGUUAUUAUUUGACUUUUACUGAUGAUUACAGUAGAUAUGGAUAUGUCUACUUAAUCAAAUAUAAGUUAGAGACUUUCGAAAGGUUUAAGGAAUUUAAACAGGAAGUUGAGAAUCAAUUGGGCAGGAACAUUAGGAUGUUUCGAUCCGAUCGAGGUGGUGAGUAUCUUAGUUCAGAGUUCCUCGACUAUCUUAAGGAAUGUGGGAUUGUCUCACAAUUGACACCUCCCAGGACACCGCAGUUGAAUGGUGUAGCUGAGGGGCAUAAUCGAACCUUGUUGGAUAUGGUUCGUUCCAUGAUGAGUCAAGCUUCGCUACCAAUCUCAUUUUGGGGGAAUGCCUUAGAGACUACCGCCCAUAUCCUUGAUCUAGUCCCUACAAAGAAAGAUGCCAAAACUCCUCAUGAGAUGUGGACUGGUAGAGUACCCAAACUAGACCACAUCAAGAUUUGGGGUUGCGAGGCUUUUGUGAGGCGCGAGUCUCAUGAUAAGCUAGAACCCCGGAGCGAGAAAUGUAUUUUCAUCGGGUACCCACAAAGAUCCUUUGGUUACCUCUUCUACAGACCUAGUGAUAAUGUGGUCUUUGUAGCAAGAAGUGGAGUCUUUCGAGAGAGUGAGUUUAUAAGCCAAGGAGACAGUGGGAGGCAAAUUGACAUUAAUGGGAAUCUUUGUUACAUGUGGCUAUAUUCAUGAGGUAGCUAGUUGGCAUUACUGGGAAUCUUUCAACAGCUGAGGACUGGGUGGGUUCGGGAGCCUAGAAAAGCCUAGGUUAUGUUGCAAUGGAUUAGUAAUAUGGUUUAGUGAGUACUAGCAUAAUGGUUUGAAGAAGUCACUUAGAGGAUUUAAGAGGAUUGUUGAGGAAAGUAUGGAUAGGUGUGGAAGGUAGUAUUGGCCCAUACUACUAAAAACACAGGAUCCAUACUCGAAUCGUUGAGAGUCUUUUAGAAUCUAAGAAGCUUAUCAGAGGUGAAUUCUUGAGUACAUUCUGAUUAUUGGCUUGUUGAUUUUCACUUGGGAGCUGAGCUCACAGGGAAAUAGUUUAGGUUCGGUUUUCGGCUCAGGUGCAGUUUCUGAGUCGAUUAGCGAGCAGUUGCCUCUCCUCGGAUAUUUUUUUGUUUUGUUUUGGAGAUAGUGGAUGAGCGCUUGGGCGCGUUCCGUGCGGAGGUUAUGGAUAUCAUUGGAGCCCGCUCUGUCUUUCUGGGAUUUUCGUGCUUGUGGAACUCCUGCGUUCCAUGGGGAGAAGGACCCCAUUGUCAGUAGGAGGUGGUUAGCAGAUAUGGCUAACGCGUUCAGAACGAGUUUUAGCCCCGAGGAAGGGAAGGCCAGAUAUGCUUCCGGCCUGUUGAAGGAUUGGGCACGUGAUUGGUAGGAGGAGAUCGGUAGUGAGUUGGGUGAUCAUGUAAUUGAUGUUAUGUCAUGGGAUGACUUCUAGACCAGGUUCCAAGCUGAGUUUGCACCGACGAUUGAGGUGCAGCAGUUGGUGCAAGAGUUCCUGGAUCUCUGCCAGACUACUGAGACUAUGGAAAAGAUCACUGCCUAGUUGUGGGAGAGGGCUUUAUUGGUACCACAGUAUGUAGAAAAUGAGGAGAUGAAGAAUGUAAGGUAUCACGAUAUGUUUCGGGAUGAUAUCAGGAAAUUUGUGAGUAAUUCAGGGUGCGAGACCCUGAAUGAUAUGAUCUCUAGAGCCCGAGAAGAGUAAAUUGAUUUGAUGCACAUUAAGAAUAGGAGGUCAGAUCAGGUGCAUACUUUGGAGGGUCCCGGGAAGAGACCCAAGACUUCUGACCAGCAUUCGAGAGGUCAGCAGGACCGGAGUCAGUGUAGAACGUGCGGGAGACUACACGAUAGGGCUUGUCGUUCCAAGGGUUUGGGCUGCUAUAAGUGUGGCCAGUUUGGUCACGUCAGCAAAGACUGUCCACUGGGAGCAAGUCUGUUAUGCUUUCGAUGUGAUCGGGUGGGCCACAAGAAGGCCGAUUGUCCGACAUUGAGGGGAGGAGCAGUGAGCGCACCUGCUCCGACUAUUUUGAGGAUCACCGAUGGACGAGAAGGUAGGGAAGGUGCCCCAUCAGAGAGGAGUUGAUUUUUACUGGUAUGUAUCUUUUGCCUUCUUUCAGGUUAUUUAUAUUUGUGUUUAUGGUUGUUGGAAUCUGGCAUCAGUUUGGGUAAAGCAUGUAUCCGGUUCAUUUCUUUUCUCAUAUAUGAGUUACAUCUUCAUGUAGUGUCAUAUGCCAUUUUCAUACCGUAAAUUUCAAAGUGGCUAGGGAAGGGUCGUUUUCCUUUUGUUGGUUCGGAGUGUUUGGUGUUAUCUUGGUUUAAAGUCGAGAUCCGUUCAGGGGCAUUAUGUGGAAGGUUUGCAUUUAGUGUUCAGCCGGGUGACUACCCACCCGUGUCAGGAUUCGUAGGGUUUAGUCAUUGUGCUCAGAUUGACUCAUGGGGUCAGCAAUGGAAGUGAUCUACUAUCUAUGUUUUGUUCUGAGCAUCGGUUAAUUGCACUUCAAGAUCUGAGUACAAUAUCAUUUCAAGGCAUCUGUAGUAAUCAGUAUUGCUGAGAUUCAAAAAGUGUUCAUCUAGUCUUCAGAGGUUAUAUAGUCAUGUAAGAUCGGGUAGUAAUGAAUAGCUAGCAUUAGUAAGCGUUGGUUGUCAGUAGGUCGAUCAUUGGGAGGUAGGAAGGAUCGAAAAUCCUUCCAUUUCUCGUAUCCCGUGGAGACUUAGUCAGAAGAAGUGGGGGAUAACCGUUCAGGUACCCAGGAUAGAAGCAAGCGUAAAAUUGGGAUGAGCUCGUAUCCCCAUUAGGAAAGGAAAAGGUAGCCCAAGUGGCUGCCUGUAUGAGGGAUAAUGUGAAUUGGAAGUUUGGGAAACGUCCUGGCUUUGGGACCACAUCUGAUUGAUGUGUAGAAUAUUAUGGGGAACCAGGUGAACGAUCCCAGUCAGGACAUGAAUUUAGUGUAGGAUGUUAGUGUUGGAUAAGGUGUCUAUGUCCAUAACUAUUUCUGGUAAGUACUUGACCCGACCCGGCAUCGUCCAUUUGGGUUGCAUGGCACCAUGCACUUGCAUAAACUAAAUGAGAGAAAUAACACAUAUGGUUUAUUAAUAUAUUAUAAGUUCUAAUAUAUUAAUAAUAUUAUUUAAUUAGUUUUGAUUAAGAAUUAAUUUAGAAUUAAUUAAGUGAUCAAAAGAUAACUAAUUAAAUAUAUGGGUAGAUUAUGUAAAUCUUCCAUAUCUUAUAUAGUGGGCUAAGAGGCUCCAUGGAUUAUCAAAAUGGGUUCCACCCAUAAGAUGCUCCAUGGAUGCUCUAUGGAGUUAACCCAUGGAUCAAGAAAUGAAGAGUCUUGGAACAUUAGGGUUUACCUAAUGUCACACACUAUAUAAGCAAUGUAACUCUCCCCAAAAUCGGUUACACACACAAAAAAGAAAUAAGAGGGCUUGGCCGAUUUUGCAUGUGUUAGAGUAUUCUCUCAAGUUUAUUCUUUGCAUUUGGUGUUGUGUGAAGCAUUUAAGGAAUCACACUUGAGGUGCUAGGCUCACAAGGUUUCAAGGAACACUUUCAACAACAAGGUAUGUAGUUCUAUCUUUUAUACAAAGAAAAUUGUACCCCAUGUAUGCUAGAUAGGUUCAUAACCUUGGAAAACAACUUUGCAUGAUUAUUAGACAAACAUAGAUCCAAGGUUAUUAGGGUUGCAUGUACACUUAGGAAGUGUUAGAAUGCUCAAAACCCAUCAGUGGUAUCAGAGCCUAGGCUUGUUUGUUUGUUAUUUGUGCUUAAAAGUUGAAGAAAGUCGAAAAUCUUGCUGUCUGACUGAUGGACUCGGCGAGUCCAUGGGGAGGACUCGUCGAGUUCAUGUGUAUCUUCAACCUACUCGGCGAGUAGGUUUAUGCACUCGGCGAGUAGGGUCGACAGAGUGCAGAAUUUCGACUUGAGUUGCUGGAAAUGGAUUAGAAUCAUUACCCUAAAAUGUUUUGGUACUUGAAAACUUAUUUUAGAAGGUGUAAUGUCUUUUCUAACUCAUUUACAACAACUAGUUAUCAAAAUUACAAAGAUUAAAUGUGAUUUUGAUUCUUGAAAGUGUUCAUAUUCAUAUUCUUGUUCUUAUGAUGUUUAGAUGAUCAUAGGAAUUAUUUGUAACCUAUGUGGUAGAUUAAUUCAUGAUCAUAAUGUGUUUUAAUGGAGUCCAUAACUUGUCCUCAAGUUAUGGAAAACCAAAAGUCUCUUGAAUAAAAAAACCAUUAAAAGAACACAAGAGUUAGAAAAAUGAAAAGUCCUCAUUUUAUUACUCUAUUAAACUCAUAAGUUACAAGAAAUGAAAAGUUUUGAAAGUUUACAAAACUUGCCCUCAAGUUUUGGAACAAGUAAAGUCUUGAUUAAAACUUUAGUUCCAACCCUUAGAAUUUUAAAAGUUAAAAUUCAACCCUUAUACUUAUAAUAUUAUAAGUUAAUAAUAAUAUAUAUAUGUAUAAGAUCAAAGUCGUCUUACCGCUAGUACGCCUCAUUCACGAAGCCAGUCUAUAAGGUGGGUAUAAGGUUGUUGCCUAUAAAAUGGCAACUUAAUGGGUGUCCACUCUCACCCACCGCUUGCUUGACUGGUGGAGGGUCGUUAGCCGAACGGGUAAGACAAGGACUUAUAAAUUCUCAUUAAAAGUAUGAUGAAUAUUAUAAAGUAACUAAAUGUUUUAUUAAAUUCCCAAUCUUAGUUACUUUAGGAAAAAUGUGAAUAAGGUGCUAAUCCAUGAAAUUACACUUUACACUUUGUUUAAGUCAUUAGUGGAGCGUGUGUGGUUAACCGACACACUAAGUUGAACGUAACAAGGUAGGUAAAGGGUGACUUAAUGUUUAUCAUAGUAUCGAUGGAGCGUGUGUGGUUAACCAGCACAUCGAUUGAGGGGUAAUACAUUAAGGGUACCAAGUAAUUUGCAUGGUUACUUCACGCCUCGUUUUGUGAUCCUCGGCAUGCUAGUCACAAAACUUAGAGGGUACACUCGAGAUUGAAACAUGCCUUUGAAAAGUUCAUUGAAUCUCAAAAGAAUCUAGGAGUUUCUAAGAACAAAAUUAAAUAUUUUUAAUAUUUCGUCUUUGGUGGAAAUUGGUGAAUCGUCAUUCACCUACCUUUCAAAUAUGUUAUUACUUAGAUUACGGCAUACCUCUUCUAAGUAUAAUAUAUUGUGAUUGGGUAGUAGCCUUAAUACUACAUUUCGGUGUUUUAUUAAGGACUAUCUCUAUUUCUAAACAAAACUUUUAUUUUCAGAUGUCUGCAAACACUACUGCUUCUGGCUCUAAUCCUAAUGGCUCCUUUUCACUAAGGAACUUGUGUGGGAAAGUCACUUUUGAUGGAUCCAACUUUAAUGAAUGGAUCAGAAACAUCCGAAUGAUUACCCGCUACGAGGACAAAGAAUAUGCCCUCGAUAAGGAGCUUGAGGAGAUUGAUGAGAAAUUUGCUACUCCUCAAGAGAUUGUUAGGGUGCAAAGUUCUUCAUUCAUGACUUUGUAAUGUUUGACUUUUGUAAAACCCACUUGCAUCUGGAGUAUUUGCCUUUAGACCCAUUUGUCUGUCACAGUGAGAGAGAGAGACAUGUAAACACCUCUAUAAAUAGUGGGUUCAUACCACUUGUAGAGGUGUGCUUGAGAGAUGUAAAAGUGAGUGUGUAAGUGUGUGUUAUUUAUGUAGUCUAGAUUUAGAUCCUUUUUGUGUAACACCAUAUACAAUCAAUACAUCUCUUAAACACCCAAAUCACCAUGUUCAAUUGUGCAAACUUUAAUUCCGCAUGCCAAACCAUGUUCUUUGUCACUACAAUUGGUAUCAGAGCGGGUCUUCAAGAUCAAGGUGAUUUUUGAAGAACGAUUCUCGGUUUGGCAACAUUCGUCGCAAUUUGAACAAUUUUGGUGAGUCUCUCUCUAUGAUCUCUAUUAAUUUCAUUGAAUUCGUGCGUUGCGUUUUUGAUUUGUGAUCGUUUAACUCAUUGGAUCAAAUUUUUCUUGAAAAACUCAUUUGUUGUGAUCCAAUAUUUUUUUUAGAUCAAGGUCCGAUCCAACUUCAUAUUUGUUCGUUUGAUUUGAUUCUCAAACUGUGACUGUUCGUUUGAAUCGAGAUUUAAGCCCAAAAUUUAUUAUGAUUCAAUCAUUUUCUUGAUUUAGCCCAAAAGUAUUUUGUGAUCCAUUUUUCGAAAUCUACUAUUCAUAAAUCAUUUGUGAAACAACCCGUCAUUUCAGGUCAUUAAAAAUCGAGUCGUGUAACCUCUUGGAAAAGAUAAUUGGGAUACCAUCGAAAAAUGAAGUAUUCAAAAGCUCUGGUUGGAGUACGCUAUGUAGUAGAUAUCGUCUUAAGAUUUCCAAGCAUAUAAAGAACACUAAAAUCCGAGUUAUAACGAAGAAGUUAUGACCAUUCUAAGUUUUCCGACAAAAAUCGGCAAUAUGAAGUUACGUAAAAACACAAAGUUUCAAUAAAAUAGUUUUUUUGACCUUAGGUGUCUAAAUAAAAGUCAUAGAUAUCGUUAAACUGCAAAAGUUCAUAAAAAGAACGCCCAAAUCCGACUUCGUAAAUUGAAUUUAUGAUUUUUUUAAGUUCGGCUUAGCAGCAGGCAGCUAAAAACUCGAAUCGGAGAUCGAGCGACUGUUAGCCGGAAUGACCUAAACGAGAAUCAAAGGUCUCGACAAUGGUAAUUCAGCGGUAAAAAGUCUGGCAAAAACUGACGUCAGAUAAAGAAGUUGUGAAUUUCUAAAAAAAUUCCUUAAACACAGCCUUUUAAAAAUAAAUAAUAAAAAUAAUUUCGGAAUUUGCCGACGGAAUCUAAACGAAAGUUGUAGAUCUUAGUCUCACCUACGCGUGGAUAUAAAGAACGUCGAAAACGGAGUUCGUAUGAAGGAGAUAUGAAUUUUUGAAGUUUAAUAAAUAAUUAAUAUAUAUUUUUAAUUUUAAACUCUUGGUAAUAUCCGAAGAGGAGUCAGGAUAGGACCGAGGUACGCCCUGCGUACCCUCAUACGCCCCGCGUACUCAAAUCAAGGGCAUCGGUUCGACCACGUCGUCCCCUAUGCGAGCUAUGCCCCGUCCCAUCCGAGCUCCGGGGCAGUCGAGGACUCGGUCAUGCAUGACGCACGGGUACGCCCCGCGUACGCCCGUACGCCCCGCGUACCGAGGCCUCUCAGCCCCUAUAAAAGGGAUGCGAGGGUUCCGGGAAAACUUGCUCAUUUCCUCUCGUUUCUCUUGCGUUUUGCCUCGUUUUCCGUGCCCGUGCUAACCCGAAGCCCUGGUCAUUUUGCCCAAGUCCCAAAGAUCGUUUUUACUCCCGAGAUUCCCUUGAACCCCGAGAAAACUCCGUUUUCCCGAGCCGAAAUUAUGCUCGGUUUCCAUCUCGCUUUCUUCAAACCUUGAGGUAAGUUCAUACCCCUACAAACACAUUUUUUUUAAAUACAUUUUAAAUGCUUUUUAUACUCUUUUAAGGGGGGGAAUACAAGUAAACAUACGGUUAUUAUCGUGUAUUUCAUAAAUUUUCACUGUACUCGUUUUUAUCAAAUGAAUCACAUGUGAUUCACUACUACUAUGUGAAAACUCUUGUCACAUUUUGCAUGCACUAGAUUUAUACAAAGUAUUUAGCAAUUCCAAAGCAUCCUUCGUUGCUAAACCGUUUUAAUACAUUUUAAAAACUUAUGAUUUAUGCAUUGUCGAACAUUGUGAAAAAGGAUAAACUUUGCAUACGAAACUACUACUUUAAUACAGACUUAGUUGAGAAUCCGUGAGACGUGUACAUCUUCAAAUAAUACCUUUUUGCUAAAAGGUACCGCUUCAAGUCCUGUCUAUAACCAGAGUCUCCCGUUCGGAGAACGUGUCAAAUGUGUAUAGAUCUAUACGGGAAGUGAUGAUCUCGCGCCCUGACUGUUAGCUACAGUCCGUCCUUUGGGGUGACAGUUUGUCAUAACGCUACGACGCCUGAAGAACGUCGCUACAGGCAUAUUAUGUUUAGUAUGGUUAUAAAACUCAUCGGAUAUACAAUUAUUAUAGUACUUCUGAUUGAUUAAUGAGUAGUUAUUAAAACUAGUCUUCAUCUAACAAACUAAAAUCUUCUAAUAGGUUUUAUUAUAUAAAUCUAUGCUCUAACUCCCUAAGGCAUGUCUUUUGCUUUCGGUUUUUAGUCUGGGACAUUAGGCUAACUAUCACUUUAGGAAAAUAUGGGAUUUUCCCGGUAUACAAAACAAACAACUAAUAGGAAAAUAAGGGAUUUUCUUGAUUUAACUAUCCAUAUUAUUCAAUACAUAUAUUCUCAUGCAUUUCACACUUUUAUAAGAAAAUAAGGGAUUUUCUUGGAAAACAUACACUCAAUUUGGAAUGGCAUACAAACUUUCUAAACUACUUAUGAACUCACCAACUUAAUUGUUGACACUUUCUCUUUGAAAUAACUUGUAUUCUCAGGGAACCGCUAAGCAGGUUUGGAAAUCAACUUUUGGGGAUUAACGCGCUGGCGUUAAUUACUUCUUUUGAAAGAUGUUUAUGCUUUUAUCUUUUGGGCAUGUAAUGAAUACAAUGAUGUAAACAUUUUAAAAACCUUUAUAUAUGUAUGGUGGUGUGUACUUUCCUUUCUAUGAACUGUUAUGAUACUGAAUAUGACGUCCUCCGCCCCCGAACGUUUCCGCCGUUCUGGUUUGGGGGUGUGACAGAUUGGUAUCAGAGCAUCGUUUAUAGUGAAUUAAGUAUAUCAAAACCAUUUUUGGUAUACAACUAUAAACUCAACUGGGCAAAAACACUCUGAGAAGAGUCAUACUUUUGAAAUUAAAUUUAUUUAGUUUUUGUAAAGUAAGCAUGCAUUCAUUUCGUACUAAUAACAGUUUCACAUCGGACCAUUUUAGAAGUAUUAUAAAUAAGUUGUGCAGUGCAGGUACGCCUUGGGACAUGUAAUCGGAACUGGGAAGGAUAUAGCCUGAUCAACUAUAUUUGUCCGAGAGCCGACUAACGUGUGCCGAGGAGUGUCUGCAGUGGACAACAAAUUUAAAACUUACCAAAAACAUAUCGUUAAAUAAUACUAAGGGAGUAUUUGAGUAUCAACAACCAUUAAACUUAAGGGUAAAUUUCAUGUACUCUAGCUUAUAGUAAAUUCUUAACCCUAUUCUCGUACAGACUCAAUGGCUGGAUUCCACCACCCCAAUGACCCCUACUACCCCAACCAAGGUAAUGGAGGAUGGAUCGAAGAAGAUCCCAAAGAAGACGAAGAACCUAUAGACUUGGAUGAAGGAGAUGACUCUGGUACAGAUUCAGAGCCAAAGGUUAUCAAUCCACCUGCCCCACAACCUCCUGUCCAUGUGAGGAACUUCCAAGGACCCAAUCCUGUGUGGGGGAGUCACCUCCACCAUUGGAGCCAACAACAAAGCUUACGCCCUCCCUACGGCAUGUGCCGAGACUUUUAUGAUGUCAGGGGCGGGGCUUGGAUGAAGGAGAUGACUCUGGUACAGAUUCAGAGCCAAAGGUUAUCAAUCCACCUGCCCCACAACCUCCUGUCCAUGUGAGGAACUUCCAAGGACCCAAUCCUGUGUGGGGGAGUCACCUCCACCAUUGGAGCCAACAACAAAGCUUACGCCCUCCCUACGGCAUGUGCCGAGACUUUUAUGAUGUCAGGGGCGGGGGAUCGGCGGACCGAGCACUUCCAGUCAUGGUUGGCAAAAUAGCCAACCAGUGCUAUCAAUCCGGAGUUCAAGCCAACCGGAUCUACGAAAUCAACGUAGAAGUGCAGGUUCACACUUCUGACAUCCGUAGGCUAGAUGGGAUUCAGGACCAUGCCCAACUCCAAACUGAGGCAUUUCAAGCACAAAUGAUUGCAGCCCUAGCCGAAUUAAGGAAACAACAAGCCGCUUUUGAUAGGCGUCUAAUGGAGUCGAAGCAAUCGGAUGCGGAGUCAAGCUCCAAGCGCAACCUACGUCGCAAGUAGUGCUUGCCAAAAUUUCAAAUUUUGUUAUAAAUUAGGACUUCGGAUAAAAGUAUUACUUUCUUUAAACUUUCUGUAAUCGGAGACCUUUAGAAAGGUCAAAAAAUUUUGUCUAAACUCGGAUGUAACACAACUAUAUGUUUAAAAUAUAUAGGGAAAACCUCUUUUCUGUUUUGAUUAUGUGCAGUUCGUCCAAUUCAUAAGUACAUCUAUUCAAACUUCAUUUAUAAAUCAGACUCAGAACCCUGUGUUGGCCAAACCCAAUCCUUAAACUAUUAAAGGAAGUUAACUCAAUAUCAUUCAACUUGCAAUUACCAAAAUUUAUAAUGUCUCAUUUUCUUUUGGCAGCGCGAUGCCUCCUCGUCCAAACCUGAGACCCAGACCGGGCACGGUGCCACCACCACCUCCACCACCAACGUAUGAUCCGGCCAUGGUCCAGGCGGCUAUCACAGCAGCAGUAACAGCAGCUCUCUCACAAAUAAACUCCAAUGCAAAUGGAGGUACAUAAAGCAGCACGAAUCAUUCAAAUCAUUGCACCGGCCGUGGUCAAGUGAGGGAGUGUACCUACAAGGAGUUCUCCAACUCAAAGCCAAAGACUUUUAAUGGCAUGGGAGGAGUCAUUGCACUAAUGCAAUGGUUCGAAAAGACCGAAACAGUCUUCGAGAUCUGCUCGUGCCAAGAAACAAGCAAGGUCAAGUUCGCUGCUUGCACCUUCAUAGAUCGAGCCCUCACUUGGUGGAAAAGCCAUGUGAAUUCGGUGACGCUCACUGUCGCCAAUGCCAUGAGUUGGGAGGAUCUGAAGGUUCUACUACUGGAAGAAUACUGCCCAAGGGGCGAAGUGCAAAAGCUUGAGCAGGAGCUCUGGAAUCUGAAAAUGACUGGGUCUGAUCUAGUCACCUAGACAGCUAGGUUCAACGACCUCGCUGCAUUGUGCCCUACCAUGGUCAACCCAGAAUCAAAGAAGGUUGAAAGGUACAUUUGGGGGUUGUCACCCCAGAUUCAAGGGCAUGUCCUAGCUUCCAACCCUAUCACCUACAACAACGCUAAACGCCUGGCUCAGCGACUCAUCAACCACGGGGUAAAACAAGGUACCAUUGCAACUACCGCCAAUCCACCUAAGGAGGCACAGGGCCAGAAUAGGCCUUGGAAGAAGAGAAGGGGGAAAACCGUAUAGGAGAACCCCAAGAAACAACAAGUAGUAGCGAUCCACGCUACUACUGUACCUACCAAUACUGCCCCCACAAGCUCAUACAAUGGGAAAUUUCUGAAAUGCAACCAAUGCAACUUCCACCACCACGGUCUUUGUCGUGACCUUCAAUGCACCAGGUGCAAUAAGAAGGGACAUACAGCCCGCUAUUGCAAAGAGCCAACCCAACAACCCGCCCCCACUACUAAUACCGGAGUAAGCCGCGCCUGCUUUGAGUGCGGAGACACGGGGCACUACCGCAAGGACUGCCCGAAGGCAAACAACAGGAAUACCGGCGGAAGGGGCCGAGUAUUCGCAAUGGGACAAGAUGAAGUCGUUGCGGACCCCACUGUUGUUACGGGUACGUUUCUUCUCGAUAACUCGUAUGCAUGCAUUUUGUUUGAUAGUGGAGCGGAGAGAAGUUUUGUGAGUCACAAUUUUAAAGGCCUGCUAAAGCCAUUACCACAAUCAUUAAGUGAACCGUUUAUAGUAGAAAUGGCCAACGGUAAAACCGAAGGCACCAAGGAGAUAUACUUAAACUGUACUCUAACUCUAAACGAUAAUCCCUUUACAAUCAGCCUCAUGCCAGUCUCGAUUAAGAGUUUCGAUGUCAUCAUUGGCAUGGAUUGGCUGAGUUCUCAUCAUGUAGACAUUUUAUGUUACGAUAAGGUUGUUCGUCUUAAUCUGCCAACCGGCGAAACUUUCAUUGUCUUGGGCGACAAACCCAGUACCACUCUUCGUAUCAUCUCAUGUAUCCAAGCUCAGAAGUGCCUACGCAAAGAGUGUCACGCGUUUUUGGCACAUGUUGUAGAUGUGAAACGCGAAGUCCAGGACGUCAAGAAUGUGCCCGACGUAUGCGAUUUUCCCGACGUUUUUCCCGAGGACCUUCCGGGAAUACCACCCGCGAGACAAGUCGAGUUCAGAAUCGAUCUGGUUCCCGGAGCUACCCCAGUAGCCAAAGCACCCUAUCGAUUAGCCCCGGCAGAGAUGCAGGAGCUAUCCAGCCAACUGAAUGAGCUACUUGGAAAAGGAUUCAUCAGGCCGAGCUUCUCGCCAUGGGGAGCACCCGUCUUGUUCGUGAAAAAGAAGGAUGGAUCAUUCAGGAUGUGCAUCGACUACCGAGAACUCAACAAACUUACCAUCAAGAACCGAUACCCCCUACCCCGAAUCGACGACUUAUUCGACCAACUCCAAGGAGCCAACUACUUCUCCAAGAUCGAUCUGAGGUCGGGAUAUCACCAGCUGCGAGUCCUGGAGAGCGAUGUUCCCAAGACGGCCUUCCGAACGAGAUACGGACAUUACGAGUUCGUAGUGAUGCCGUUCGGACUAACCAAUGCCCCGGCCGUAUUCAUGGAUCUAAUGAAUCGGGUAUGUCGUCCAUUCUUGGAUAAAUUUGUGAUAGUAUUCAUAGACGACAUACUCAUUUAUUCAAAGAAUAAAGAAGAGCAUAGUCAACAUCUGAGACAAGUCUUAGAGACGUUACGGACUGAGAGACUUUAUGCAAAAUUCUCAAAGUGUGAGUUUUGGAUUAGAAANUCGAUCUGAGGUCGGGAUAUCACCAGCUGCGAGUCCUGGAGAGUGAUGUUCCCAAGACGGCCUUCCGAACGAGAUACGGACAUUACGAGUUCGUAGUGAUGCCGUUCGGACUAACCAAUGCCCCGGCCGUAUUCAUGGAUCUAAUGAAUCGGGUAUGUCGUCCAUUCUUGGAUAAAUUUGUGAUAGUAUUCAUAGACGACAUACUCAUUUAUUCAAAGAAUAAAGAAGAGCAUAGUCAACAUCUGAGACAAGUCUUAGAGACGUUACGGACUGAGAGACUUUAUGCAAAAUUCUCAAAAUGUGAGUUUUGGAUUAGAAAGGUGGACUUCCUCGGUCACGUAGUCAGCAAGGAAGGAAUCCACGUGGACCCAUCAAAAAUCAAGGCUAUCAAAAACUGGUCUGCACCAACUACUCCAACAGAGAUUCGCCAAUUUCUAGGUCUUGCUGGUUAUUAUCGAAGGUUCAUUCAGAAUUUCUCCAGCAUCGCAAAGCCUCUUACCGCUUUAACCCAGAAAGGUGUGACCUACAACUGGGGAGAAAAGCAAGAUGCUGCAUUUCAGACUUUGAAACAGGCCCUUUGCAGUGCACCCAUCCUUUCUCUUCCAGAGGGGACCGAAGAUUUUGUGGUGUAUUGCGACGCUUCGAAGCAAGGACUGGGCUGUGUGCUAAUGCAGAGGGGAAAGGUUAUUGCAUAUGCCUCACGACAACUGAAAACGCAUGAGGUCAAUUACACCACUCAUGACUUAGAACUUGGAGCGGUGGUCUUCGCUCUUAAAAUCUGGAGGCACUACCUAUACGGUACCAAGUGCACUAUCUUUACAGACCACAAGAGCCUCCAACACAUCUUCGACCAGAAGGAGUUAAACAUGAGACAGCGACGUUGGGUCGAAUUGCUCAACGACUACGAAUGUGAGAUUCGCUAUCAUCCGGGAAAGGCAAACGUCGUGGCCGAUGCCCUUAGUCGUAAGGAGUACUCUGGCCGAAGAGUGAAGUCAUUAGCCAUGUCGAUCCAUUCGCACCUGUCAGCACAAGUCAAGGAAGCUCAAAUAGAGGCCUUGAAACCCGAAAACGUGACAGGUGAGACCCUUAGAGGAAUGGACAAGAACUUAGAAAUCAAGAGUGACGGAGCACGCUACUUCAUGAACCGAAUCUGGACACCCAAGUUUGGUGGAUUCAGAGAGGUAGUUAUGAGCGAGGCACACAAGACUCCAUACUCCGUACACCCAGGGUCAGACAAGAUGUAUCUAGAUCUCAAGCAACUCUACUGGUGGCCAAACAUGAAAGCGGAGAUUGCUACCUAUGUGAGCAAGUGUUUGACUUGCGCCAAGAUAAAAAUAGAACACCAGAAACCCUCAGGCCUACUCCAACAACCUGAAAUACAUGAGUGGAAAUGGGAGCAGAUUUCCAUGGACUUUAUAACGAAACUGCCCAAAACUCAGGGUGGCUAAGAUACUAUUUGGGUGAUCGUCGACAGACUAACCAAGUCCGCUCAUUUCUUACCGAUCACGGAAACUGAUAAGAUGGAAAAACUAUCAAGAACCUACAUCCGGGAGAUCGUACGACUUCAUGGAGUGCCGAUGUCCAUCAUCUCAGAUAGAGACAGCAGAUUCACUUCCAGAUUCUGGCAAUCAUUGCAAAAAUCCAUGGGAACAAGGCUGGAUAUGAGUACAGCAUACCACCCACAAACUGAUGGACAGAGUGAGAGAACAAUCCAAACCUUGGAAGACAUGUUGCGAGCAUGUGUAAUCGACUUUGGUAAAGCAUGGGAUGUUCACUUACCUUUGGUCGAGUUCUCUUAUAACAAUAGUUAUCAUACUAGUAUCAAGACUGCUCCAUUUGAAGCCCUUUACGGCCAUAAGUGCACAUCACCUCUAUGCUGGACAGAAGUGGGCGACACGCAAUUGGCAAAAGGUCUAGUCCCAGAUAGCACCCUAACUGGUCCGGAGAUCAUCAGAGAGACGACUGAAAAGAUCGUGCAAAUACGAGAACGACUUAAAUCCUCAAGGGAUAGGCAAAAGAGCUAUGCCGACAAAAGACGUAAACCCUUGGAAUUCCAGAUUGGCGACCGUGUACUACUGAAGGUCUCACCCUGAAAGGGCAUGAUACGCUUUGGAAAAAGUGGGAAGCUAAAUUUGAUUCUCAUAUUUGUUUGUUUGAUUUGAUUCUCAAACUGUGAUAGUUCGUUUGAAUCGAGAUUUAAGCCCAAAAUUCGUUGUGAUUCAAUCAUUUUCUUGAUUUAGCCCAAAAGUAUUUUGUGAUCCAUUUUUCGAAAUCCAUUGUUCAUAAAUCAUUUGAGCCGAAAAUUGUUAACCUGUUACUGUUCAUUGAUCAAUUAUUAGGAGCCCAAUUAAUUCUUUUAAAAAAUCUGAUAUCGUUGAUUGAGAUCGGAAGACAUCAAUUGGGAUUAUUAUAAAAACACUGUUUCGAGAUCGACUUGUAACUUUGCUUAUCCAGUUGUACCAUCGAACACUUAUGUCUCAAAUCACAAUUGAAAUUGUUCUUGAAGUAUAAUCGUAUUGUUUCAUCUUUGAUUGAUUCUUUCAGAUGUUCAAAUAUUCAUCUGUUGUCGCUUAUUUUAAGAUCGCUUCUUCCAUCUGACUAUCAAUAUUUGUUUGAUCUCUAAAUUGGAAUCGAAAUUGAAGUGUUCGUUCACUUAUUAUCAUAUGUUUGUGUUCAUAUGAAUCCAGUUUAAUCAAUUCAUUCUUAUCGAUCGAUCAUUGCUCAUUGAAUUCAUCUUGUGAAUCGAUUCAUUACAUUGAGUUUAAUCUCAAAAAUUGAUUACGAUCAAGAUAUCAGUUGUUGAUUCAAUUAAAGAGUCAAUUUCAAAGUCAAAUCUCAGUUCUAAUGGUUCCAAGAUUCAAAAUUGAAAAAGAUUCAGAUGAAGAUGGGUUCAAUUUGAGUUUUGAUGACGAGUUUUUGAUGUGUCUGAAUUUGAUUUUGAUAGUUUUUAGUGUUGAUAUGGAUCUGUUUUGAAUUGAGAACAAAAACGUGAAAGAAGAACUAUGAGCGAUGGUUUGAAAUUGAAUGAUCAAGAACAAUUGACGAAUGUAUGAAGAACAGAUGAUCGAUGCGAAGUCAAGCAAAAUUGAAUUUGCACUAAUUGUUUUUAGAUUCGCAUAUUUUGAUGUCGAUUAGUGCGAAUUUGGUUUGUGCAAGUUCGCAUCGGGGUCUCAAAAAUAAUGUUUCAUUUGAUGACUGGGUUGGUAUAAAAGUGUUUCAUUCGCAUUUGGGUCUUAUUUUUGGGUUCGCAUAUUGAUCUUGUUUUGAAUUGAAGAUUUAUUUUGACGAACAAAACUUGGAUUGUGAAUGAAAUGCGAACAAUCGAUGGGUAUAAGGAUGUGAUAUGAAGUUCGCAUUUGUCUUCAACAGCAGUUCGCAUUUGAUUAACUGGAUUGAAUGUUCACAAAUAGUGAUAUGGUUCGCAAUUUGGAUGUAAAAUAGGAAGUUCAUUUGUAAUCUGUUAUGUUAUGGAGAUAUUCGCAUCUGGGUUUCAAAACUAAUUUUCGCAUUUGGUUAAAGAGAUAACAUUGGAUUCGCAUUUGGUUAUAGUGAUUGUGUUCGCAUAUUUGGUUAAUUGGGUGAAAGAUGCGAAGCAUUUGUAAGGGGCGUGCGAAUGACGAUGCGAAGUUUUCACUGGUUAAUGAAUUGGGAAGAAGUAAACAAAUAUUUUCGAAUUAGGUCCCUUGUCUUUUCAAGAAAAGACACAAUUGGUCCAACUUUGCAAAUGGGGUUAUAAAAUGACAAAAAUGCAGAAUUUCCAUUUCGCAUCCCUUUAGUCUUCGCAAGAUGAUAAAUUUUACCCAGUUUCGCAUUUGGGGUAAAAAUUUUGAGAAAUGGGAAUAUUUUUGAAUCUGGUCCCUGCAGUUUGUUCGAAUUCACACAUUCUACCCAGUUUCGCAAAUGGGGGUGUGUUUCGCAUAUUUGGCUGUUUUUAGCGCAACAGGUCACUGCAAAAUUUUGAAAUUGUCAAUUUCUACCCAUUUUUGAAAAUUUUUGUCAAAGGCAAUCCGUGAACGAAGCUAAAAAAAAAAUUCAGUAUUUUUUGGAUUUUCCGGAUUGAAGCACAAAGUUUAUGCCACAUGUUAAGGGGGAUUUUAACAUGAAAAAUUCCGAAUAGAGCAUGUUCUUUUUCCUUGGAGUUUUAUAAUCAAAUUUCGAUUAUAAAAAGGGGGAGAAGUUUUAUAUGGAAAUUCGAACUUGAAUUUUUCAUAUUACGCUGAUUUGAAGACCGAAGUGAUCUUGAAGUUUUGAAGCCUACGAGAUGAUGCAAUUGGAAGUUCGGAAGUGAUGUAUUCGAAAGGGGUUUGGUUUAUUGAAGAUUUUUGGGGUGUGUUUUUAUGCGCAACUUUGGGUGAUUAUUUGGAGUUUGGAAUACUCUUGAGCAUUCGUUGCUGCUUGGUUUGUAUGGUCUCACAUCCUAGAGCCCAAAUUGAAGAGUCAUGGAAGAAUUGAAGAUUGAAGUUUGUUUCGACAUGUGUCACCUUUGAGGCUCGAACCGCGUAGUGCUUGAUUUUUGAAGAUUUGAAGUGGUUCAUUCACUCCUAACUUUGAGGGGAGUAUGUUAGGGUACAAAGUUUUCCAUGAAUGAAUUUGUAAUGUUUGAAUUUUGUAAAACCCACUUGCAUCUGGAGUAUUUUCCUUUAGACCCAUUUGUUUUUGUUAGAGUGAGAGAGAGACAUGUAAACACCUUUAUAAAUAGUGGGUUCAUACCACUUGUAGAGGUAUGCUUGAGAGAUGUAAAAGUAAGCGUGUAAGUGUGUGUUAUUUAUGUAGUCUAGAUCUAGAUCCUUUUUGUAUAACACCAUAUACAAUCAAUACAUCUCUUAAACACCCAAAUCACCAUGUUCAAUUGUGCAAACUUUAAUUCCGCAUGCCAAACCAUGUUCUAUGUCACUACAAUUGGUAUCAGAGCGGGUCUUCAAGAUCAAGGUGAUUUUUGAAGAACGAUUCUCGGUUUGGCAACAUUUGUCGCAAUUUGAACAAUUUUGGUGAGUCUCUCUCUAUGAUCUCUCUUAAUUUCAUUGAAUUUGUGCGUUACGUUUUUGAUUUGUGAUCGUUUGACUUAUUGGGUCAAUUUUUUUUUUGAAAAACCCAUUUGUUGUGAUCCAAUAUUUUUUUUAGAUCAAGGUCCGAUCCAAUUUCAUAUUUGUUCGUUUGAUUUGAUUCUCAAACUGUGAUUGUUCGUUUGAAUCGAGAUUUAACCACAAAAUUCGUUAUGAUUCAAUCAUUUUCUUGAUUUAGCCCAAAAGUAUUUUGUGAUACAUUUUUCGAAAUCUACUGUUCAUAAAUCAUUUGAGCCAAAAAUUGUUAACCUGUUAAUGUUCAUUGAUCAAUUAUUGGGAGCCCAAUUAAUUCUUUUAAAAGAUCUGAUAUCAUUGAUUGACAUCGAAAGUCAUCAAUUGGGAUUAUUCUAAAAACACUGUUUCGAGAUCGACUUGUACCUUUGCUUAUCCAGUUGUACCAUCGAAGACUUAUGUCUCAGAUCACAAUCGAAAUUGUUCUUGAAGUAUAAUCGUAUUGUUUCAUCUUUGAUUGAUUCUUUCAGAUGUUCAAAUAUUCAUCUAUUGUCGCUUAUUUUAAGAUCGCUUCUUCCAUCUGAGUAUCAAUAUUUGUUUGAUCUCUAAAUUGGAAUCGAAAUUGAAGUGUUUGUUCACUUAUUAUCAUAUGUUUGUGUUCAUAUGAAUCCAGUUUAAUCAAUUCAUUCUUAUCGAUCGAUCGUUGUUGAUUGAAUUCCUCUUGUGAAUCGAUUCAUUACAUUGAGUUUAAUCUCAAAAAUCGAUUAUGAUCAAUAUAUCAAUUGUUUAUUCAACUGAAGAGUCAAUUUCAAAGUCAAAUCUCAGUUCUUAUGGUUCCAAGAUUCAAAAUUGAAAAAGAUUCACAUGAAGAUGGGUUCAAUAUGAGUUUUGAUGACGAGUUUUUGAUGUGUCCGAAUUUGAUUUUGAUAGUUUUUGGUGUUGAUAUGGAUCUGUUUUGAAUUGAGAACAAAAACGUGAAAGAAGAACUAUGAGCGAUGGUUUGAAAUUGAAUGAUCAAGAACAAUUGACGGAUGUAUGAAGAACAGAUGAUGGAUGCAAAGUCAAGCAAAAUGGAAUUUGGACUAAUCGUUUUUAGAUUUGCAUAUUUUGAUGUCGAUUAUUGCGAAUUUGGUUUGUGCAAGUUCGCAUCUAGGUCUCAAGAAUAAUGUUUCAUUUGAUGACUGGGUUGGUAUAAAAGUGUUUCAUUCGCAUUUGGGUCUUAUUUUUGGGUUCGCAUAUUGAUCUUGUUUUGAAUUGAAGAUUUAUUUUGACGAUCAAAACUUGGAUUGUGAAUGAAAUGCGAACAAUCGAUGGGUAUAAGGAUGUGAUAUGAAGUUCGCAUUUGUCUUCAACAGCAGUUCGCAUUUGAUUAACUGGAUUGAAUGUUCGCAAAUAGUGAUAUGGUUCGCAAUUUGGAAGUAAAACAGGAAGUUCAUUCACAAUCUCUUAUGUUAUGAAGAUAUUCGCAUCUGGGUUUCAAAACUAAUUUUUGCAUUUAGUUAAAGAGAAAACAUUGGAUUCGCAUUUGGUUAUAGUGAUUGUGUUCGCAUAUUUGGUUAAUUGGGUGAAAGAUGCGAAGCAUUUGUAAGGGGCAUGCGAAUGACGAUGCGAAGUUUUUACUGGUUAAUGAAUUGGGAAGAAGAAAAGAAAUAUUUUCGAAUUGGGUCCCUGAUCUUCUCACGAAAUGACACAAUUGGUCCAACUUCGCAAAUGGGGUUAUAAAAUGACAAAAAUGCAGAAUUUCCAUUUCGCAUCCCUUUAGUCUUCGCAAGAUGAUAAAUUUUACCCAAUUUCGCAUUUGGGGUAAAAAUUUUGAGAAAUGGGAAUAUUUUCGAAUAUGGUCCCUGCAGUUUGUGCGAAUUUGCACAUUCUACCCAGUUUCGCAAAUGGGGGUGUGUUUUGCAUAUUUGGCUAUUUUUGGCGCAUCGGGUCACUGCAGAAUUUUGAAAUUGACAAUUUCUACCCAUUUUUGAAGCACAAAGUUUAUGCCACAUGUUAAGGGGGAUUUUGACAUGAAAAUUUCCGAAUAGAGCAUGUUCUUUUUCCUUGAAGUUUUAUAAUCAAAUUUCGAUUAUAAAAAGAGGAGAAGUUUUAUAUGGAAAUUCGAACUUGAAUUUUUCAUAUCACGCUGAUUUGAAGACCGAAGUGAUCUUGAAGUUUUGAAGCCUACAAGAUGAUGCAAUUGGAAAUUAGGAAGUGAUGUAUUCGAAAUGGGUUUGGUUUAUUGAAGAUUUUUGGGGUGUGUUUUUAUGCGCAACUUUGGCUGAUUAUUUGGAGUUUGGAAUACUCUUGAUCAUUCGUUGCUGCUCGGUUUGUAUGUUCUCACGUCCUAGAGCCCAAAUUGAAGAAUCAUGGAACAAUUGAAGAUUGAAGUUUGUUUCGACAUGUGUCACCUUUGAGGCUCAAACAGCGUAGUGGUUGAUUUUGGAAGAUUUGAAGUGGGUCAUUCAUUCCAAACUUUGAGGGGGAGAAUGUUAGGGUACAAAGUUUUCCAUGAAUGACUUUGUACUGUUUGACUUUUGUAAAACCCACUUGCAUCUGGAGUAUUUGCCUUUAGACCCAUUUGUUUGUCAGAGUGAGAGAGAGACAUGUAAACACCUCUAUAAAUAGUGGGUUCAUACCACUUGUAGAGGUGUGCUUGAGAGAUGGAUCUACAUCCUUUUUGUGUAACACCAUAUACAAUCAAUACAUCUCUUAAACACCCAAAUCACCAUGUUCAAUUGUGUAAACUUUAAUUCCACAUUCCAAACCAUGUUCUUUGUCACUACAAUUGGUAUCAGAGCGGGUCUUCAAGAUCAAGGUGAUUUUGAAGAACGAUUCUUAGUUUGGCAACAUUUGUCGCAAUUUGAACAAUUUUGGUGAGUCUCUCUCUAUGAUCUUUCUUAAUUUCAUUGAAUUCGUGCAUUGCAUUUUUGAUUUGUGAUCGUUUGACUCAUUGGAUCAAAUUUUUCUUGAAAAACCCAUUUGUUGUGAUCCAAUAUUUUUUUUAGAUCAAGGUCCGAUCCAAUUUCAUAUUUGUUCAUUUGAUUUGAUUCUCAAACUGUGAUUGUUAGUUUGAAUCGAGAUUUAAGCCCAAAAUUCGUUUUGAUUCAAUCAUUUUCUUGAUUUAGCCCAAAAGUAUUUUGUGAUCCAUUUUUCGAAAUCUACUGUUCAUAAAUCAUUUGAGCCGAAAAUUGUUAACCUGUUACUGUUCAUUGAUCAAUUAUUGGGAGCCCAAUUAAUUCUUUUAAAAGAUCUGAUAUCGUUGAUUGAGAUCGGAAGUCAUCAAUUGGGAUUAUUCUAAAAACACUGUUUCGAGAUCGACUUGUACCUUUGCUUAUCGAGUUGUACCAUCGAAGACUUAUGUCUCAGAUCACAAUCGAAAUUGUUCUUGAAGUAUAAUCGUAUUGUUUCAUCUUUGAUUGAUUCUUUCAGAUGUUCAAAUAUUCAUCUGUUGUCGCUUAUUUUAAGAUCGCUUCUUCCAUCUGACUAUCAAUAUUUGUUUGAUCUCUAAAUUGGAAUCGAAAUUGAUGUGUUCGUUCACUUAUUAUCAUAUGUUUGUGUUCAUAUGAAUCCAGUUUAAUCAAUUCAUUCUUAUCGAUCGAUCGUUGUUGAUUGAAUUCAUCUUGUGAAUCGAUUCAUUACAUUGACUUUAAUCUCAAAAAUCGAUUAUGAUCAAGAUAUCAAUUGUUGAUUCAAUUGAAGAGUCAAUUUCAAAGUCAAAUCUCAGUUCUUAUGGUUCCAAGAUUCAAAAUUUGAAAAAGAUUCAGAUGAAGAUGGGUUCAAUUUGAGUUUUGAUGACGAGUUUUUGAUGUGUCUGAAUUUGAUUUUGAUAGUUUUUGGUGUUGAUAUGGAUCUGUUUUGAAUUGAGAACAAAAACGUGAAAGAAGAACUAUGAGCGAUGGUUUGAAAUUGAAUGAUCAAGAACAAUUGACGAAUGUAUGAAGAACAGAUGAUCGAUGCGAAGUCAAGCAAAAUGGAAUUUGGACUAAUCGUUUUUAGAUUCACAUAUUUUGAUGUCGAUUAGUGCGAAUUUGGUUUGUGCAAGUUCCCAUCUGGGUCUCAAGAAUAAUGUUUCAUUUGAUGACUGGGUUGGUAUAAAAGUGUUUCAUUCGCAUCUGGGUCUUAUUUUUGGGUUCGCAUAGUGAUCUUGUUUUGAAUUGAAGAUUUGUUUUGACGAACAAAACUUGGAUUGUGAAUGAAAUGCGAACAAUCGAUGGGUAUAAGGAUGCGAUAUGAAGUUCGCAUUUGCCUUCAACCGCAGUUCGCAAAUAGUGAUAUGGUUCGCAAUUUGGAAGUAAAACAGGAAGUUCAUUCGCAAUCUGUUAUGUUAUGGAGAUAUUCGCAUCUGGGUUUCAAAACUAAUUUUUGCAUUUAUGGAUUGGAUUUCGCAUUUGGUGAUACAGUUGAUUUGUUGNUUGGAUUCGCAUUUGGUUAUAGUGAUUGUGUUCGCAUAUUUGGUUAAUUGGGUGAAAGAUGCGAAGCAUUUGUCAGGGGCGUGCGAAUGACGAUGCGAAGUUUUCACUGGUUAAUGAAUUGGGAAGAAAAAACAAAUAUUUUCGAAUCGGGUCCCUGAUCUUUUCAUGAAAUUACACAAUUGGUCCAACUUCGCCAAUGGGGUUAUAAAAUGACAAAAAUGUAGAAUUUCCAUUUCGCAUCCCUGUAGUAUUUGCAAUAUGAUACAUUUUACCCAGUUUCGCAUUUGGGGUAAAAAUUUUGAGAAAUGGGAAUAUUUUCGAAUCUGGUCCCUGCAGUUUGUGCGAAUUUACACAUUCUACCCAUUUUCGCAAAUGGGGGUGUGUUUCGCAUAUUUGACUGUUUUUGGCGCAAUGGGUCACUGUAGAACUUUGAAAUUGACAAUUUCUACCCAUUUUUGAAAAUUUUUGUCAAAGGCGAUCUGUGAACGAAGCUAAAAAAAAUUCAAUAUUUUUUGGAUUUUCCGGAUUGAAGCACAAAGUUUAUGCCACAUGUUAAGGGGGAUUUUGACAUGAAAAAUUCCGAAUAGAGCAUGUUCUUUUUCCUUGGAGUUUUAUAAUCAAAUUUCGAUUAUAAAAAGGGGGAGAAGUUUUAUAUGGAAAUUCGAACUUGAAUUUUUCAUAUUACGUGGAUUUGAAGAACGAUGUGAUCUUGAAGUUUUGAAGCCUACGAGAUGAUGCAAUUGGAAGUUCGGAAGUGAUGUAUUCGAAAUGGGUUUGGUUUAUUGAAGAUUUUUGGGGUGUGUUUUUAUGCGCAACUUUAGGUGAUUAUUUGGAGUUUGGAAUACUCUUGAUCAUUCGUUGCUGCUCGGUUUGUAUGGUCUCACAUCCUAGAGCCCAAAUUGAAGAGUCAUGGAAGAAUUGAAGAUUGAAGUUUGUUUCGACAUGUGUCACCUCUGUGGCUCGAACCGCGUAGUGCUUGAUUUUUGAAGAUUUGAAGUGGUUCAUUCACUCCUAACUUUGAGGGGAGUAUGUUAGGGUACAAAGUUUUCCAUGAAUGAAUUUGUAAUGUUUGAAUUUUGUAAAACCCACUUGCAUCUGGAGUAUUUUCCUUUAGACCCAUUUGUUUUUGUUAGAGUGAGAGAGAGACAUGUAAACACCUUUAUAAAUAGUGGGUUCAUACCACUUGUAGAGGUAUGCUUGAGAGAUGUAAAAGUAAGCGUGUAAGUGUGUGUUAUUUAUGUAGUCUAGAUCUAGAUCCUUUUUGUAUAACACCAUAUACAAUCAAUACAUCUCUUAAACACCCAAAUCACCAUGUUCAAUUGUGCAAACUUAAAUUCAGAAUGCCAAACCAUGUUCUUUGUCACUACAGAGAUCGCUGACUUUAGGGCACAUGAAAGGGAUGCCACCAAGGUGGCAUGCAUCAUGAGGGCCACUAUGACAGCCGACCUCCAAAAGUCCUAUGAGGAAUUCUACCCUUUUGAAAUGCACCAAGAUUUGAUGGAAAGAUACCAUCGAACUGCAAGACAAGAGAGGUAUGAAAUCAUCUCCUCCAUGAUAACAACCCGAAUGAAGGAUGGUGAACCCAUCACGGGCCACAUACAGAAAAUGCAAAGAUUUGUGGACCGUUUGCUGAAGCUUAAUGUGAACUUCCCCGAGGAGCUUGCAAUAGAUAUCAUUUUGCACUCCUUACCUUCAUGUUAUGAUCAAUUCCGCAUGACAUACCACAUGAACAAGGAAGAGGUCACUAUCAGCAAACUUCAAGGACUCUUAAAGACCAUGAAAAGUGGUCUUAAGGGUAAGACGGUUGUUACUACUCCUACUCCUACCAACUCCACCCCUGUCUUGGCAAUCGGGAAAGGACUAGGGAAGAAGAGAAAGAGUUCUUCGAAGGGUACCAAGGCUAGGACCCUUGAAGGAUCUUCUUCAAGUGGAACCAAGAAAGUUUCAUCACUCCUUCUUCUGACCCAAAAGAGGCUGAAUGCUUCUAUUGCCAUGAAAAGGCACAAUGGAAGCGGAACUGCCCAAACUACCAGCAAGAUGUGAAGGAUGGGAAAGUCAAACCCAACAAUGCAGGUAUUUACGCUAUCUUAUCUAAUAACUCACCCCAUUCUAAUUCAUGGGUCCUUGAUACCGGUUGUGGUAUUUAUAUAUGUUCUGAUUUACAAGGACUAAGAAGAAGUGAGAAUGUUGAGCAAGGAAGAAUAAACUUGAUCAUGGUAAACAGUAAAGCUUCACCUAUCCCCAAGAUUGGAGUUUAUACUUUAUCACUAAGUAGUGGGUUUAGUUUAGAUUUGAAUAAAUGUUGUUAUUCGCCAGAAAUGGCAAGACAUAUUAUUUCCUUUCAUGUAUUGUAUAAACAAUGUUUUACCUUUUCAUUUGAUAAUGAAGUUGGUUCGAUUAAUGCUUUCUUUAACAAUAGUCUUUAUUUUAAAGCAUUACCUUAUGAUGGUGUGUAUGAAACUGUAUUUGUGGCUGAUAACUUAGGAAAUAAUGUUUUGUUUAUUGAUUCUUCGAAUAAUAAUAACUUGGAUAAAGCAUCAUUAUGGCAUUGUCGUCUUGGACAUAUAAGCAAGAAACGCAUAGGCCAACUCCAAAAGGAUGGAGUCUUCGACUCAUUUGACCUAAAGUCAGAUGAUAGUUGCGAAUCAUGCUUACUUGGAAAAAUGACAAAGUCUCCCUUCACAGGUUCUUGUGAGAGGGGUGAAGGUUUGUUGGAUCUUGUACACACGGAUGUGUGUGGACCAUUCAAACAUGCCACAAGGGAUGCUAAUCAUUAUUAUUUGACUUUUAUUGAUGAUUACAGUAGAUAUGGAUAUGUCUACUUAAUCAAGCAUAAGUCAGAGACUUUCGAAAGGUUUAAGGAAUUUAAACAGGAAGUCGAGAAUCAAUCGGGCAGGAACAUUAAGAUGCUUCGAUCCGAUCGAGGUGGUGAGUAUCUUAGUUCAAAGUCCCUCGACUAUCUUAGGGAAUGUGGGAUUGUCUCACAAUUGACACCUCCCAUGACACCGCAGUUGAAUGGUGUAGCUGAGAGGCAAAAUCGAACCUUGUUGGAUAUGGUUCAUUCCAUGAUGAGUCGAGCUUCGCUACCACUCUCAUUUUGGGGGUAUGCCUUAGAGACUGCCGCCCAUAUCCUUGAUCUAGUCCCUACAAAGAAAGAUGCCAAAACUCCUCAUGAGAUGUGGACUGGUAGAGUACCCAAACUAGACCACAUCAAGAUUUGGGGUUGCGAGGCUUUCGUGAGGCACGAGUCUCAUGAUAAGCUAGAACCCCGAAGCGAGAGGUGUAUUUUCAUCAGCUACCCACAAAGAUCCUUUGGUGUUACCUCUUCUACAGACAUAGUGAU
RNAcentral lists this long non-coding RNA (25675 nucleotides) under Lactuca sativa (garden lettuce). RNAcentral's name for it is "long non-coding RNA (LSAT_LNC007338)". Lineage: Eukaryota; Viridiplantae; Streptophyta; Magnoliopsida; Asterales; Asteraceae. The record is from RNAcentral.